GCCGGAGUGGCGGAAUCGGUAGACGCAGCGGACUCAAAAUCCGCCGCCUUUAAAAGCGUGUGGGUUCGAGUCCCACCUCCGGCACCA
This 87-nucleotide transfer RNA is filed under the name Pseudomonadota bacterium. RNAcentral's name for it is "tRNA-Leu". It matches the Rfam family "tRNA". From Rfam's summary of the family: Transfer RNA (tRNA) molecules are approximately 80 nucleotides in length. Lineage: Bacteria; Pseudomonadati; Pseudomonadota. The record is from RNAcentral. RNAcentral also lists the same sequence under 1 other name.